UUUGUUACAAAGAGUCACGGGAGCGCAGAGAGAGACCCAUGUGACAUCCAGAAGGGGAGGACGAAAACAUCUCAAACACGAGUCAAGGUUUGCACGUUUUCCGUCGGUGCUUCGGGUCUGAGCAGCUGUCCUGCAGGAGUGUCGGAAGAGGGAGGGAGGAGGCAACCAGAGGGAGGAAGGAAACGGGGAUAACGUCACGAAGACACGGAGUAAAACGGGGAGAGCAGCGGUUAAUGGACGAUCCUUGAUGCGGGCCAGAGGAAGGAAAAACUAGAGCCAGUUCUUUUGAUUUUUUACCCCCCCCCCACACGCCCCCCCGCUUACAUUAGACAAAAAAUGUUUUUCCUAACCUUCCGAACGUGAAAAGGUGCGACGCCGUCAGCAGAAAAGGGGCAAAAAAAAAA
Non-coding RNA from Poecilia reticulata (guppy), 404 nucleotides. The record is from RefSeq and is a predicted model, not a curated record. Lineage: Eukaryota; Metazoa; Chordata; Actinopteri; Cyprinodontiformes; Poeciliidae.